AGGAUGAACGCUGGCGGCGUGCCUAACACAUGCAAGUCGAACGUCCUGUCUCGCAAGAGGCAGGGAGUGGCGGACGGGUGAGUACCACGUGGGUCAUCUACCGUGAGGUGAGGAAUACCGGCGAGAAAUCGCCGACAAGACCGCAUAGGCUCGAUGCAAGUCGAGCAAAGCUCUUUCGAGAGAGGGAGCGCCACACGAGGAGCCUGCGCCCGAUUAGCUAGCUGGUGGAGUAACGGUUCACCAGGGCGACGAUCGGUAGCUGGUCUGAGAGGACGAUCAGCCACACUGGGAUUGAGAACGGCCCAGACUCCUACGGGGGGCAGCAGUGAGGAAUUUUCGUCAAUGGGGGCAACCCUGAACGAGCAACGCCGCGUGCAGGAGAAGGUUUCGGAUCGUAAACUGCUUUUCUCGGGAAGAGAACGGACGGUACCCGAGGAAUCAGCCCCGGCUAACUACGUGCCAGCAGCCGCGGU
RNAcentral lists this ribosomal RNA (473 nucleotides) under uncultured bacterium. Its description in RNAcentral is "SSU rRNA". It matches the Rfam family "Bacterial small subunit ribosomal RNA", at positions 26 to 521 of the family's 1533-position model. The record is from RNAcentral.